UACGAAGGGGGCUAGCGUUGCUCGGAAUCACUGGGCGUAAAGCGCACGUAGGCGGCUUAUUAAGUCGGGGGUGAAAUCCUGGAGCUCAACUCCAGAACUGCCUUCGAUACUGAUGAGCUUGAGUCCGGGAGAGGUGAGUGGAACUCCGAGUGUAGAGGUGAAAUUCGUAGAUAUUCGGAAGAACACCAGUGGCGAAGGCGGCUCACUGGCCCGGUACUGACGCUGAGGUGCGAAAGCGUGGGGAGCAAAC
Molecule: ribosomal RNA, 250 nt
Filed under: uncultured bacterium
Lineage: Bacteria
Description: partial 16S ribosomal RNA
Rfam family: Bacterial small subunit ribosomal RNA
Source: RNAcentral